GUGGUCACUGAACCAUGAAAAUGAGGUCAAGGACAUUGGACAUGUGACUGACAGAAACUUCGUAACAUGAAGCAUCUAAAUACACAGUAUGAAGCAUCCAGGUCUUCCACCUUCUGAAUUAUAAAGCUUUUAAGAAGUGAGCUAACACCGCCGCCGCCGCCGCCGCCGCCGCCGUAGCCGCCGCCGCCGGAUCACUAUCCCUAUGUCGAGCUUU
This 214-nucleotide long non-coding RNA is filed under the name Mytilus galloprovincialis (Mediterranean mussel). Lineage: Eukaryota; Metazoa; Mollusca; Bivalvia; Mytilida; Mytilidae. The record is from RNAcentral.